GAUGAACGCUGGCGGCGUGCCUAAUACAUGCAAGUCGAGCGAACAGACGAGGAGCUUGCUCCUCUGACGUUAGCGGCGGACGGGUGAGUAACACGUGGAUAACCUACCUAUAAGACUGGGAUAACUUCGGGAAACCGGAGCUAAUACCGGAUAACAUGUUGAACCGCAUGGUUCAACAGUGAAAGACGGUCUUGCUGUCACUUAUAGAUGGAUCCGCGCCGCAUUAGCUAGUUGGUAAGGUAACGGCUUACCAAGGCAACGUUGCGUAGCCGACCUGAGAGGGUGAUCGGCCACACUGGAACUGAGACACGGUCCAGACUCCUACGGGAGGCAGCAGUAGGGAAUCUUCCGCAAUGGGCGAAAGCCUGACGGAGCAACGCCGCGUGAGUGAAGAAGGUCUUCGGAUCGUAAAACUCUGUUAUUAGGGAAGAACAAAUGUGUAAGUAACUAUGCACGUCUUGACGGUACCUAAUCAGAAAGCCACGGCUAACUACGUG
Molecule: ribosomal RNA, 497 nt
Filed under: uncultured bacterium
Lineage: Bacteria
Description: partial 16S ribosomal RNA
Rfam family: Bacterial small subunit ribosomal RNA
Source: RNAcentral